This 460-nucleotide ribosomal RNA is filed under the name uncultured bacterium. RNAcentral's name for it is "bacterial SSU rRNA". It matches the Rfam family "Bacterial small subunit ribosomal RNA", at positions 29 to 507 of the family's 1533-position model. The record is from RNAcentral.
AAUGAACGUUGGCGGCGUGGAUUAGGCAUGCAAGUCGAGCGCUCAUAGCAAUAUGGGAGCGGCGAACGGCGUAGUAAUACGUAGGAACGUACCCUCAGGUCGAGGAUAGCUAUGGGAAACUGUAGGUAAUACUCGAUAACCUCUGCGGAGCAAAGGUGUGAUUCCGCCCGAGGAGCGGCUUACGCGAUAUUAGCUAGUUGGUAGGGUAAUGGCCUACCAAGGCGAUGAUGUCUAGGGGGUGUGAGAGCAUGGCCCCCACGACCGGAACUGAGAUACUGUCCGGACACCUACGGGUGGCUGCAGUCGAGAAUCUUCCGCAAUGGACGAAAGUCUGACGGAGCGACGCCGCGUGCGGGAUGAAGGCCCUUGGGUUGUAAACCGCUGUCAGAGGGGAUGAAAUCUUCGGAGGUACUCCUCCGAAGUUGACAGAGCCUCAAAGGAAGCACGGGCUAAGUACGUG